CAUGCCAUAGCCGGGGAGCAGGAGUCACGAGCAGUUAGAGAGGAGGUUAUAAAAGGGGCUGCUGGUGCGGCAGUUGGAAAAGAGCCGGUAGCCUGUGAAACAGUGAGGAGCAGUGAUGGAGGACAGGGGGAUCUCUUACCAGUAAAGGAGGUGACCCCCGUCGAAAUCAGUUCGGUGAAGUGUGGGAAUCGCUGACACCUGGAGCUGCCGCGGUGGUAGACGCAUGGGUGAGGAGAGACUACAGUCCAGGAUGGACAGCGCCUUACCUCUCUCUGCCAGCACUGAUUGCAUAGGAGGCCAGGAGAGUGAAAGUGUGGAGGGCUGGAGCACUGGUCAGGCAAGUCGAUCCUCCAAAUUCAGCGGCUGGUAGAAGUAGGGACAGCCUCCCUGAGGAAUCGACGGGGCUAGGCUACAGCACAGACCCAUAGACCCAAAUUCGGUGUGGUAUGACUGGCUCUCUCCAUACGACUUCCAGCAACACCAGGAAAAAUGGAUCCUCAAGGGCCAGAAAGUCGAUACAAACUAAUUCCAUGGGACCCGUACUGGUAAUGUUCACUAACGGAGCGGACUUCUCAGGCAAUUUUUUUCGAACUAUACAAUUUCCACACGUUUUACAGUAUUGAGCUAUUUCUUUAUUCAUGAAAGGCCAAUAUAAUCUUUCAGAGACCAAUCACUGGGUUUUAUCGUACCCCAAGUGUCCAUGCCCAUCGUGUAGGGCUUGUAAUACCAUUAAUUUGUACUUUUCUGGCAGAACCAAUUGCAUCUCAGCAGUGCCUCCAUAAAUGUAACCCUCUUUCCACACUAAUCUAUUGAUUUAUUACCCUAAAUGUGCCUCCACCCAAGCUAUGAGAUUAUUUUGGUUGGGCUUGCUUGGGUAAGCCCUAUCCCCUAAUAAGGUGAUUCUUCAAUAUAUAUUCAUGUGCAUGUAAAUACAACUUCCCUUUGACUUUAAUA
This is a long non-coding RNA of Pseudophryne corroboree (corroboree frog), 954 nucleotides long. RefSeq lists it as uncharacterized. The transcript has 3 exons. Lineage: Eukaryota; Metazoa; Chordata; Amphibia; Anura; Myobatrachidae. The record is from RefSeq and is a predicted model, not a curated record.